AAAAACUGUUUAAAAUGCAGUAAAUUCUAAUUCUAUUUAAAUAACUUUUAAAAAUAAAGCUGUUACAGCAAUAGUGAAUGCUUUAAGAAAAAAAACACUGUUGAAUGAAAAAAAAAGAAUUAAUCUACUUUGGAACUACAAACCAGUUCUAUCCUGUUAAGUCUUUCUACUUUUUAUUUGCUUAAUUUAUUGUGAUUUAUUCAAUAUUUUGGUAUGUAAAGCUCUGGAAGCCCAUCUUCUUUUUCAUCUAGUUCUAUUCUUUGUCUUUGGACCAGGUGGAUCCAUCUCUUCUCUGUUUUUUAUUUUUAUUUAUUUUUUGUCUUUUGUUUCUGUUGGUUAAAUUUGAAUCAUAUCCCUAGCAAGACCCCACCCUCGAUUCCUGAAGCCAACCAGGAAGCACCAACGUCUUGCUGCGCUGGAGUCUUCCUUCCAGCUGCACUCGUGGGUGCCUCGCUGUUGUGCUGGACGAGGGCGUUCUCGGCUUUCUUCCGGCGCGUCUUAAUGUUGAUCUGAGCUGACGUGUUUCUUGAAACACCCGGCAGAGAAACAGAGGCGGAAAGGCAAACUUCAAAUCUCCUCCAAAACAGCCAGGAUCUGCCUGCUGUGGGCUGCAGCUCCCACAAAGCAGCGAGCGAGGCGUUGAUUGGAGCGCCCACACCGGCGCGCUCUUUCUGUGCAAAGCUGUGGGCUUAGCUGCACCCCAGCUGCUGCUGUGCAUGCUUUACUUCAGACCCCAGUGGAAACACCAGCUGAAGGUCACGACCUGAAAAACUGCCUUCAGCUAGGAUGAGUUUUGCUUUCCUUCGUCUGCAUGGACAACAUAUUGCUUUUAAAAAAUUAAAGAUAGAAGUUUUUUUAAGCAGAAGCAGCUUGCUCCUAUCUCCUCUUUGUUUAAGAAAAGUUCUCACAAAACUAAUUAAGUUUGAGAUUUCCUUAUUUAAGCUUCUACGCAGUUUUAAUUGGAUGUGUGUUGGAGAUGGGCCAGCCCGCUCCCGAGCUGGAUUUGAAACUCCCUGACCAUCAGAGAAGGUGAAAGGUUCCUGUGUGAUGGCACAGCCAGAUACGGAGACUUUAUUUCCCCAAACAGGAUAGUAAUUAAUUGGACGAACGGCUUGUGGAAUCCUGUUUUCCAUGGUCCGUAACCAUCCAUAUGCUGGGAGUCCGGCCAUCCAAAGCCCUAAUAAAGAUUUAGAGAGAUCCACAG
This is a long non-coding RNA of Oryzias melastigma (Indian medaka), 1204 nucleotides long. RefSeq lists it as uncharacterized. The transcript has 2 exons. Lineage: Eukaryota; Metazoa; Chordata; Actinopteri; Beloniformes; Adrianichthyidae. The record is from RefSeq and is a predicted model, not a curated record.